AGAACGAACGUUGGCGGCGUGGAUUAGGCAUGCAAGUCGAACGAAUCCCAUCUGGGUAACUGGGUGGGGGAAGUGGCGAAAGGGGCAGUAACGCGUAGGUAACCUACCUCGGGGACGGGGAUAGCCCUUCUAACGAAGGGGUAAUACCCGGCGAUCUGGCGAGGGGAUAUCCUCUUACCAGGAAAUGAACUUCGCCUCGAGAGGGGCUUACGUAGUAUUAGCUUGUUGGCGGGGUAACGGCCCACCAAGGCCAAGAUGCUUAGCAGGUGUGAGAGCACGACCUGCGCCACUGGCACUGAGACACUGGCCAGACUCCUACGGGAGGCUGCAGUCGAGGAUCUUCGGCAAUGGGCGCAAGCCUGACCGAGCGACGCCGCGUGUGCGAUUGAAGGCCUUCGGGUUGUAAAGCACUGUCGAGGGGGAGAAAAGCCCGCAAGGGUCUGAUCUAUCCCUGGAGGAAGCACGGGCUAAGUUCGUGCCAGCAGCCGCGGUAAGACGAACCGUGCGAACGUUGUUCGGAAUCACUGGGCUUAAAGGGCGCGUAGGCGGACACUCAAGUCGGUGGUGAAAGCCUCCAGCUUAACUGGAGAAGAGCUGUCGAUACUGGGUGUCUCGAGGGGUGUAGGGGUCUGUGGAACUUUGGGUGGAGCGGUGAAAUGCGUAGAGAUCCAAAGGAACGCCGGUGGCGAAAGCGACGGACUGGACACCUUCUGACGCUGAGGCGCGAAAGCCAGGGGAGCAAACGGGAUUAGAUACCCCGGUAGUCCUGGCCCUAAACGAUGGGUACUAGGUUGAAGGCUUACAUGGGCUUUCAGCCGGAGCAAAAGUGUUAAGUACCC
RNAcentral lists this ribosomal RNA (839 nucleotides) under uncultured bacterium. RNAcentral's name for it is "bacterial SSU rRNA". It matches the Rfam family "Bacterial small subunit ribosomal RNA", at positions 26 to 869 of the family's 1533-position model. The record is from RNAcentral.